GCUCCAGCCACCUCCUCUAGGCUUACGUUUUGCGUGUGAGUCAGUCCGGGAUCACUUCAUUUUCCACUUAAGAUAAGGUCUUGGCUUUUUGUCCCUUGCUGCUCCCGGUGGCUCCUUCCCAGAAGCGUUUCCAAGUUCGCAUCUGUCCCAAAGGCUUCUGCCAGUGGGAUGCUGUGCCCUGAGAGUUUAUGACUGCUUGUAGCUGCAGGAUGCUCACUCCCCCAGAGUCUCCCCUAGGCGGGUAGAUCAGUAGCUCACAAGGCAGGGUACUUGGUGCUAUUGGGGGCCGCCUGCCCAAUUGGGGACAGCAGCAGAUGGGAACCGCAGACCCCAGACUUUACCUGUAGCAUGGUUGAUUUCAAGGACAUCUCUGGCAACUUGGGAAUUGCUCCAGCAGAGCAAGAUCCUGAAAAUCAUCACCAAAAUCAUUGUGAAGAAGAGCCUUGUGCUCCCUUCUGAGUUGGCAGAAGACAAAGAGAAGUAAAAGAAGUUCUACGAAGCGAUCCCCAAGAAUUUUAGGCUCUCCAGUCUUCCAUACAGGUUAUUCAUCAUACAAGAGAGUCAGCCUACCAGCAAGUCCACAGGUCCACUACCAGUUUCCUUUUGUUCAAGACUGGUGAAUUAUCUGGGUCAAGCAAAUCUCUAAAGGGGUUCUGGAAGCAACGUGGAAAGGAAAGGACCCUACAUGGUGAUUCUCUCUACUCCUAUGGCUGUGGUAAUAUCUGGCAUUACACCAUAGAUUCACCACACACAGGUCAAGAAAGUGAAAGCCAUAGAUGCUGCCAUCAAAUGGACUGUCUCCCAGACUAUGGAACCAUUAAAGUUAAGUUUCAUUGGCACCAAGUCCUUCCAUUCCCUGUCUCUCUACUACUAAUGAGUCUUAUGUUUUUUUCAUAGUCUAACUCCCUCUACCCUCAGGUCUGAACCAGGGAGUUGAGGAAGACAAAUACAGGAAACGUAUUAGCUAAUGUGACUACAGACCAGGAAGUCAUAUUUAUCUUUACCUUUUCUCACUGAUGCCCACUUUAAGUGUCUGGUUGUAUAAGAAAAAUAGAAGCUGUGGGAGUUUAUAGUUUGAAAUUGAAAUACAGAAUUUACAAUUCCAUGCGUACCCUUCAACUGGUCUCUUGUUGCCAAAAACAGGGGAUUUUCCAUUGCCAAAAAAAAACAAAAAUGGUGUGGUGAACAGGCUUCUUGAAACACACAAUUAAAUGUAUAAAUAAGGAAAGAAAUGUAAUCCAAUGGCCAUAAAAUUAAAGAUCUGUGAAAAGUUUUUGCACCCUGAUAAGCUCUGCUGAUGCAGCAAUCCAAAUCAGAGCAAAUCAGACCAAAUUAGAAUAAGCCCCAGUUUAAUGAGUGAAGUGUUCCCAGAUGAUUCUCUGGCUCCCUCAGAGAGGAGACAGGGACUGAAAAACUACAUGUCUUUUUGGGGGGCAGUUUAAAUACCCUGAGGGAGUGGUCUUGCACAUCUUUGGGGGAGUAGCCAUGUUUGAUGGGACUUUCUGGGCAACAGGCUCUGGCAGAGUGGUGGAGGCCCACCAGGAUAUUCCAGACUCUUUGGGUAUAUGGAUGCCAGGGUGCCAGGAGCUGAGAUGGAGCUUCCACCAGGAUAUUCCAAACUCUUUGGGUAUAGGGGCAUUGGUUCAAGUCUGGCUACUUCCUGUGGGCAUGAGGUGACUGGAGAAGUUGGGAGUUGGGAGUUGGUGGACUCACAUCAGGAGGUGUGAGUGGAGGAGCAUCUGGUUAAUUGUUAUCUUGGAAACCUCAGGCAUCUGUUUCUUGAGGAAGCAGAGAAAGUAAGUUGCUAGGGAAAAAAUAGAUUAUUAACAUCUGUCCUAUUUGCACAAGGUGUAAGAGCAGAUAGGCCCUUCAUUGGGACAUUUUGGAAAUCAGGAGGGUGGAGGGUCCCAGCUGCUGGACAGACCGUGUAUCCUGAAUAGGUGCCUGCUUGAACCUGGAGAGAUGGCACCAGAAGAGAUGUCCCAGGAGCUUGCCAGCUGAGGAGUUGGUGAGGAUCACAGUAUAAAGUCCUAUCCAUUGGGUCCAAAGAGAUUUAGGAGCUAGCUGUCUGAGGAGUAUUCUGUCCCCUGGGGAGAGUGGGGCAGGCUCAGGGGCAGUUGGGUGUGUUGGUGUUGCAGCAGGGAGAUAGCUGUCAGCAUGUGAACAGAGAAGAGACCUCAAAAGGGAGAGGUAGGGGAGGUACCUUGACAGUGGAGGAGUUUGGGCUGGAAAGUUGUGAUUGAGGAGGAAGGGCCUUCUGUAAAGGAGCUCUAAAGGACUCAGGCCUGUAGGAGAGCUUGGGGUGGCCCAUAGGUGGGUAAGGGCCAUGUGGAGAAGGAAAGGCCAAGACAACCUGAGUUCAAUGGAGAGCUUAGUGAGCUGUUGUUUUAUGAGUCCAUUGGCCUCUCAACCUUUCCUGAGGAUUGUGUGAGGUAAGGAAUAUGGAGCUUCCAGGAAAUGUUGAGAGCUUCUGACAGGAGCUUCAUGACCCUAGAAGUGAAGGCUGGCCCGUUGUCCAUUUGUAUGGGGGUGGCUGGCCAAAUCUAGGAAUGAUGUGUUCCUGUAGUACUUGGGCCACCACAUCUGCUGUUUCCCUGCCAAUCCUCACGCAGUUGGUGUCCUCAAAGCUAGUGCAGAAGUUGAUGUAUCUAGAGAUCAAGGGGAUACAAAUUGGAAAGGAAGAAGUCAAACUUUUGCUGUUUGCAGACAAUAUGAUAGUAUACAUAAGUGAUCCCAAAAAUUCUACCAGGGAACUCCUACAGCUGAUAAACUCCUUCAGUAAUGUGGCAGGAUACAAGAUUAACUUAAAAAAAUCAGUAGCUCUCCUAUAUAAAAAUGAUAAAUGGGCUGAGAAAGAAAUCAGAGAAACAUCACCUUUUACAAUAGCCACAAAUAAUAUAAAAUAUCUCGGGGGUAACUCUAUGAAAGUGAAAGACCUGUAUGACAAGAACUUUUUAAGUUUCUGAAGAAAGAAAUUGAAGAAGAUAUCAG
Peromyscus eremicus (cactus mouse) is the source of this 2991-nucleotide long non-coding RNA. RefSeq lists it as uncharacterized. The record is from RefSeq and is a predicted model, not a curated record. Lineage: Eukaryota; Metazoa; Chordata; Mammalia; Rodentia; Cricetidae. The transcript is spliced from 3 exons.